RNAcentral lists this non-coding RNA (26 nucleotides) under Homo sapiens (human). The record is from RNAcentral. Lineage: Eukaryota; Metazoa; Chordata; Mammalia; Primates; Hominidae.
ACCUGAUGAGGGCCAGGGAUGGUAGG